GUUGACGAGUGAUUCAGCACUUCGUCUCUUCUUAGUUAAGUGAUUGAGAGUUCGAUUUCUCAACCUUUAUGAAUGAAAAAAUUGAUCCACCAGUUUCCUACAUGCGCUGACAGUAAAGUGAAAAACUAAACUAAACGCGACGCGAACGCCAGCCAAUAACCACUCUCUCUCUCUCUUUCUCUAAGCAAGCUCAAAGUUUUGACUUUUGCCAUAGCUGCACAGAGCCAUGGCUUCAUGCAGCAUACCCAGAUGGCUCACCGGAGCUACACCCACAUUGUUCCUCCUCAUUGCUGCUUUCAGCAUUUCACAAUCACAAGCUGCUGUUGGGCUCACAACCUCGCAACCAUUCAUUUGGCCUCUGCCGGCGAAGUUCACCUCCGGCAACGGGACCCUUUCCGUUGAUCCUGAACUCUCACUCUCCGGCAACGGUGCUGCCUCUCCCAUUCUCCGAGCUGGUUUCGAGAGAUACAGAGGGAUAGUGUUUGGACACCGUUUUCUCAGAACUGUGAAGGCUGUCUAUGAUGUUACCAAAUUGAGGAUCAAUGUUCGUUCCACGAGUGAGGAGCUUCAACUUGGAGUGGAUGAGAGCUACAACUUGUUCAUAGCUGAACCCAAUGUGCAUUCCGUUGCUGGACAAGUCACGAUUGAGGCAAAUACUGUUUUUGGGGCAUUGCGUGGAUUAGAGACGUUCAGCCAGUUGUGUUCAUUUGAUUAUACAACUAAAAAAGUACAAAUAUACAAGACACCUUGGUCCAUCCGAGAUAAACCGAGAUUUCCAUACCGUGGACUCAUGUUAGAUACAUCCAGGCACUAUUUACCAGUGGAUGUAAUUAAGCAGAUAAUUGAAUCAAUGUCCUAUGCUAAACUUAAUGUUUUACAUUGGCAUAUCAUAGACGAGCAGUCAUUUCCUCUUGAAAUUCCAUCAUAUCCAAAUUUGUGGAAAGGUUCAUACACAGAGUGGGAACGUUACACGGUAGAGGAUGCAUAUGAAAUUGUCAACUUUUCCAAAAUGAGAGGGAUAAAUGUGAUGGCGGAAGUGGAUGUCCCAGGUCAUGGUGAAUCAUGGGGGAUUGGAUAUCCUGAUCUUUGGCCAUCACCCUCCUGUAGGGAGCCACUAGAUGUUUCAAAGCAGUUUACUUUUGAUGUUCUUUCUGGUAUUCUAACAGAUAUGAGAAAAAUAUUCCCAUUUGAACUAUUUCACUUGGGUGGUGAUGAAGUGCAUACAGAUUGCUGGAGCAAUACUUCACAUGUGCAAAAAUGGCUUAGGAAUCACAACUCUACUGCGCAAGAUGCCUAUCAAUAUUUUGUUCUGAAGGCCCAAACCAUAGCUCUUUUGAAAAAUUGGAGUCCUGUAAACUGGGAGGAAACCUUCAAUGCAUUUCCAACUAAGCUCCAUCCGCGGACUGUGGUGCAUAACUGGUUGGGCUCUGGGGUUUGUCCAAAGGCUGUUGCAAAAGGUUUUAGGUGUAUUUUCAGUAACCAAGGGGUCUGGUAUCUUGACCAUAUAGAUGUACCUUGGGAUGUUGUCUAUAAUGCUGAGCCACUAGAAGGAAUACAUAAAGCUUCAGAACAAGAACUUGUACUUGGAGGAGAAGUUUGCAUGUGGGGUGAGAAGGCUGAUACAUCAGACGUUCAGCAAACAAUAUGGCCUCGAGCUGCAGCCGCUGCAGAACGUUUGUGGAGUCCGAGACAUUCAACUUCUGCAGGAAAUAGUAACCAAACUGCAUUACCCCGGUUGCAAUACUUCAGAUGUCUGUUGAAUAGAAGAGGGGUUCCAGCUGCACCUGUCACUAAUUUUUAUGCUAGAGCUUCUCCUGUUGGUCCAGGCUCAUGCUUUGAGCAGUAAUCUUAGCAUGAUUCUCGUGUCCAUGUGUAGACUGUUGUGAUAAAAGUAACUCAUGUUUAUCUACUACGCCUGGCUGAUGUGCUAGAAUUCUUACUUGAUGUUCAACUCUUUGUCAGCUACAGGUUAAUGAAUGUUAGAGCUCUUGUGAAUUGACAAUAGUCAUAUUAAAUUGGGAGAUCAAGAUUGGCUAUGUUCCUCGUGAAGGAAAUGCUCCGGCAAAUUACUUAGCUGGCAUGGGAGUAAGGUUACAGUGCGCUGUUGUUGAUUUAGUUUCUCCUCCUGACGAAGUGUUUUCCCUUCUUCAACAGGAUUUAGUUACUUUGUAGUUUUGCUGUUAGUUUUCCUAUGUAAAAAAAAAAAAAAGUAUUUGUUAAAUUGUUAGAAUAUGUGUUAAUAUCCAUUUGUAAAAAAAAUUUGAAAUACUGAUAUAAGAAAUAUAAAUAAAGUAAAAAUUUAUUUUCUUGCACCUUGUGCCCAAAUUAAUAUCCACUUAUCGAGAGAGUUUCGGCAGGGGAACCCAAGGAAACCUUCCACAUUCCAAAUUUUCAAUGCUAAGGCCUGAGCUUUGGAACCUUCCACAUUCCAAGCUCUUAAUUACUACUACUACAAGUCUACAACUAUUAAAUACUCAAUUUAGUUGCACCUGCCCUAUUUAAUUGUGCAACAGUAACCCCUUUAAUCUGCGCCUAUAAAUAAAUUGAACAUAAUAGCCUCUAAUGUACACAUAGCAAGAGCAAUUCUGAUAUCUAUCUUUCAAUAUGACUUCUUCUUCUACUUCCACUAAAGUGACGAUGAAACUUUUGAUAGACACAAAGAAUCAGAAAGUUCUCUUUGCUGAAGCAUCCAAACCUGUCAUUGACUUUCUCUUCAACUUGCUCUGUCUCCCUAUAGGAACUGUGGUCAGGUUCCUCAACGAGAGAGGCAUGGUGGGUAGCUUAGGAAAUCUCUACCAGAGUGUUGCAAAUCUCGGCGACAACUACAUGGUUCCAAACCAAGGUAAGGAUGUUCUGUUAAAGCCAAAAGCUCUCAUCUCUUCAUCUGAAAUCGCUGGCCUUCUUCCUACAAACGAUGAGGCAGCUAAAGAUAUCAUUGGACCCUCGCUCUUCAUGUGCCUGAGUCGUUGUCACUAUACAGUGACAUAUGAUAGCACAAGUCGUUGUGCUUAUUGCUCGGGAACUAUGAACAAUGGAGUAAGUUAUGUGGGAAAGAAGGUUGCUAAUGAUAUGGGAAGUUCCAUUAAGAAUGGGUUUGUGAAAGAGAUGAUACCUUACAUGGUCAUGGACGAUUUAGUCAUUGAGCCCAUGUCAAUAUCAAACAUUAAUAUAUUACUUAGUAAGUCCAAUGGCAAAGAUGUUGGUGCCUUGCAAGAAAAGGUGGUUCACUUGGGCAUGGAUGAGGGUAUCAAGAUUCUUAAGGCUUCUCUGCAGUCCAAGACUGUUCUGACAAGUGUAUUCGUCAAGAAUAAUUUUGAAUAGGAAGAAAGUGCUAUGACGGAGAAAUUCUUGUUUAUGUUUUAGAAGAACAUCUCAUUUUGGUUUCUUCUAUGUUGGGUUACAUCUUUUUGCUUCUUUAUUCCGAAUGAAUAUUUUUAUUAUUUUCAA
Molecule: RNA transcript, 3447 nt
Organism: Lotus japonicus
Lineage: Eukaryota; Viridiplantae; Streptophyta; Magnoliopsida; Fabales; Fabaceae
Gene name: beta-hexosaminidase 1-like
Exons: 17
Source: RefSeq, a predicted model, not a curated record